AGAGAGGUCAGCGUCACAAUGAGAAGGGAGGAGACCGAUCUUCCGGGAACAGAGGCCGCCUCAGGACUGGGCGAGGGGUGCGGUGGGGGGAGGGACAGUGACAUGCAGCACAGAUGUGCGGUGGAGGGAAGGUGCCGCCUCGCCAGCCGCCGCCAGGGUGAGUGAGAGUGGGGGCAGAUCGCCGUGGAGGGAUCUCCGCGUGGCGCCGGGACACCUGGUUCCUGAUGGAAGGAUCCUAAGUCCAUUCAAGGGUCGGAGGACCAUGGCCAUCCACAAAGGGGAAGGUGCUAACGGUCCUGGGGCUUCGAUCUCUCCCGGAGCCGCGGCGUGCAGACCGGUGACCGCCUGUGAAAGGCGUGUCCCCUGGCAGAGACCUCCGAAAUUAUACAUGCAAAAUUGAAAAUAAGAAACAGAAAUGCAAAUACCAC
RNAcentral lists this long non-coding RNA (428 nucleotides) under Heterocephalus glaber (naked mole-rat). Its description in RNAcentral is "lncRNA (ENSHGLG00000037927.1)". The record is from RNAcentral. Lineage: Eukaryota; Metazoa; Chordata; Mammalia; Rodentia; Bathyergidae.